Molecule: ribosomal RNA, 828 nt
Filed under: Fusarium solani
Lineage: Eukaryota; Fungi; Ascomycota; Sordariomycetes; Hypocreales; Nectriaceae
Description: partial 28S ribosomal RNA
Rfam family: Eukaryotic large subunit ribosomal RNA
Source: RNAcentral
AAAGAACCAACAGGGAUUGCCCCAGUAACGGCGAGUGAAGCGGCAACAGCUCAAAUUUGAAAUCUGGCUCUCGGGCCCGAGUUGUAAUUUGUAGAGGAUGCUUUUGGUGAGGUGCCUUCCGAGUUCCCUGGAACGGGACGCCAUAGAGGGUGAGAGCCCCGUCUGGUUGGACGCCGAACCUCUGUAAAGCUCCUUCGACGAGUCGAGUAGUUUGGGAAUGCUGCUCUAAAUGGGAGGUAUAUGUCUUCUAAAGCUAAAUACCGGCCAGAGACCGAUAGCGCACAAGUAGAGUGAUCGAAAGAUGAAAAGAACUUUGAAAAGAGAGUUAAACAGUACGUGAAAUUGUUGAAAGGGAAGCGCUUGUGACCAGACUUGGGCUUGGUUGAUCAUCCGGGGUUCUCCCCGGUGCACUCUUCCGGCUCAGGCCAGCAUCAGUUCGCCCUGGGGGAUAAAGGCAUCGGGAACGUGGCUCUCUCCGGGGAGUGUUAUAGCCCGUUGCGUAAUACCCUGUGGCGGACUGAGGUUCGCGCAUUCGCAAGGAUGCUGGCGUAAUGGUCAUCAGUGACCCGUCUUGAAACACGGACCAAGGAGUCGUCUUCGUAUGCGAGUGUUCGGGUGUCAAACCCCUACGCGAAAUGAAAGUGAACGCAGGUGAGAGCUUCGGCGCAUCAUCGACCGAUCCUGAUGUUAUCGGAUGGAUUUGAGUAAGAGCAUACGGGGCCGGACCCGAAAGAAGGUGAACUAUGCCUGUGUAGGGUGAAGCCAGAGGAAACUCUGGUGGAGGCUCGCAGCGGUUCUGACGUGCAAAUCGAUCGUCAAACAUGGGCA